Molecule: ribosomal RNA, 255 nt
Filed under: uncultured bacterium
Lineage: Bacteria
Description: partial small subunit ribosomal RNA
Rfam family: Bacterial small subunit ribosomal RNA
Source: RNAcentral
AGGACGAACGCUGGCGGCGUGCUUAACACAUGCAAGUCGAGCGGAAAGGCCCUUCGGGGUACUCGAGCGGCGAACGGGUGAGUAACACGUGAGCAACCUGCCCUUGGCUCUGGGAUAGCCUCCGGAAACGGGGAUUAAUACCGGAUAUUACACCGGCUGGCAUCGGCUGGUGUGGAAAGAUUUAUCGGCUAAGGAUGGACUCGCGGCCUAUCAGCUUGUUGGUGGGGUAGAAGCCUACCAAGGCGACGACGGGUA